GAAUCCGGGAGGACCAUCUCCCAAGGCUAAAUACUCCCUAGUGACCGAUAGUGAACCAGUACCGUGAGGGAAAGGUGAAAAGCACCCCGGAAGGGGAGUGAAACAGUUCCUGAAACCGUGUGCCUACAAGUAGUUAGAGCCCGUUAAUGGGUGAUAGCGUGCCUUUUGUAGAAUGAACCGGCGAGUUACGAUUUGUUGCAAGGUUAAGCGGAAAAAGCGGAGCCGUAGCGAAAGCGAGUCUGAAUAGGGCGCAUAAGUAACAGGUCGUAGACCCGAAACCAGGUGAUCUACCCAUGUCCAGGAUGAAGGUAAGGUAAUACUUACUGGAGGUCCGAACCCACGCACGUUGAAAAGUGCGGGGAUGAGGUGUGGGUAGCGGAGAAAUUCCAAUCGAACUUGGAGAUAGCUGGUUCUCUCCGAAAUAGCUUUAGGGCUAGCCUCGAGGUAAAGAGUCAUGGAGGUAGAGCACUGUUUGGACUAGGGGCCCUUCUCGGGUUACCGAAUUCAGAUAAACUCCGAAUGCCAUGUACUUAUACUCGGGAGUCAGACUGCGAGUGAUAAGAUCCGUAGUCGAAAGGGAAACAGCCCAGACCACCAGUUAAGGUCCCCAAAUAUAUGUUAAGUGGAAAAGGAUGUGGGGUUGCUUAGACAACCAGGAUGUUGGCUUAGAAGCAGCCACCAUUGAAAGAGUGCGUAAUAGCUCACUGGUCGAGUGACCCCGCGCCGAAAAUGUACCGGGGCUAAACAUAUUACCGAAACUGUGGAUGAACCUCUUUAGAGGUUCGUGGUAGGAGAGCGUUCUAAGGGCGGUGAAGUCAGACCGGAAGGACUGGUGGAGCGCUUAGAAGUGAGAAUGCCGGUAUGAGUAGCGAAAGAAGGGUGAGAAUCCCUUCCACCGAAUAUCUAAGGUUUCCUGAGGAAGGCUCGUCCGCUC
This 934-nucleotide ribosomal RNA is filed under the name Listeria monocytogenes. RNAcentral describes it as "partial 23S ribosomal RNA". It matches the Rfam family "Bacterial large subunit ribosomal RNA", at positions 440 to 1375 of the family's 2925-position model. The record is from RNAcentral. Lineage: Bacteria; Bacillati; Bacillota; Bacilli; Caryophanales; Listeriaceae.